RNAcentral lists this ribosomal RNA (1369 nucleotides) under uncultured bacterium. RNAcentral describes it as "bacterial SSU rRNA". It matches the Rfam family "Bacterial small subunit ribosomal RNA". The record is from RNAcentral.
AGAGUUUGAUCCUGGCUCAGGACGAACGCUGGCGGCGCGCCUAACACAUGCAAGUCGAACGAGCGAGAGAGAGCUUGCUUUCUCAAGCGAGUGGCGAACGGGUGAGUAACGCGUGAGGAACCUGCCUCAAAGAGGGGGACAACAGUUGGAAACGACUGCUAAUACCGCAUAAGCCCACAGCUCGGCAUCGAGCAGAGGGAAAAGGAGCAAUCCGCUUUGAGAUGGCCUCGCGUCCGAUUAGCUAGUUGGUGAGGUAACGGCCCACCAAGGCGACGAUCGGUAGCCGGACUGAGAGGUUGAACGGCCACAUUGGGACUGAGACACGGCCCAGACUCCUACGGGAGGCAGCAGUGGGGAAUAUUGCACAAUGGGGGAAACCCUGAUGCAGCGACGCCGCGUGGAGGAAGAAGGUCUUCGGAUUGUAAACUCCUGUUGUUGAGGAAGAUAAUGACGGUACUCAACAAGGAAGUGACGGCUAACUACGUGCCAGCAGCCGCGGUAAAACGUAGGUCACAAGCGUUGUCCGGAAUUACUGGGUGUAAAGGGAGCGCAGGCGGGAAGGCAAGUUGGAAGUGAAAUCCAUGGGCUCAACCCAUGAACUGCUUUCAAAACUGUUUUUCUUGAGUAGUGCAGAGGUAGGCGGAAUUCCCCGUGUAGCGGUGGAAUGCGUAGAUAUCGGGAGGAACACCAGUGGCGAAGGCGGCCUACUGGGCACCAACUGACGCUGAGGCUCGAAAGUGUGGGUAGCAAACAGGAUUAGAUACCCUGGUAGUCCACACUGUAAACGAUGAUUACUAGGUGUUGGAGGAUUGACCCCUUCAGUGCCGCAGUUAACACAAUAAGUAAUCCACCUGGGGAGUACGACCGCAAGGUUGAAACUCAAAGGAAUUGACGGGGGCCCGCACAAGCAGUGGAGUAUGUGGUUUAAUUCGACGCAACGCGAAGAACCUUACCAAGUCUUGACAUCCUGCGACGCACAUAGAAAUAUGUGUUUCCUUCGGGACGCAGAGACAGGUGGUGCAUGGUUGUCGUCAGCUCGUGUCGUGAGAUGUUGGGUUAAGUCCCGCAACGAGCGCAACCCUUAUGGUCAGUUACUGCGCAAGAGGACUCUGGCCAGACUGCCGUUGACAAAACGGAGGAAGGUGGGGAUGACGUCAAAUCAUCAUGCCCUUUAUGACUUGGGCUACACACGUACUACAAUGGCGUUAAACAAAGAGAAGCAAGACCGCGAGGUGGAGCAAAACUCAGAAACAACGUCCCAGUUCGGACUGCAGGCUGCAACUCGCCUGCACGAAGUCGGAAUUGCUAGUAAUCGCAGAUCAGCAUGCUGCGGUGAAUACGUUCCCGGGCCCUGUACACACCGCCCGUC